GAGGCUAUAGCUCAAGUGGUAGAGCACACGCUUGGCAUGCACAAGGUCCUGGGUGCAAUUCCCAGUACCUCU
RNAcentral lists this transfer RNA (72 nucleotides) under Camelus bactrianus (Bactrian camel). It matches the Rfam family "tRNA". Rfam says of the family: Transfer RNA (tRNA) molecules are approximately 80 nucleotides in length. Their secondary structure includes four short double-helical elements and three loops (D, anti-codon, and T loops). Lineage: Eukaryota; Metazoa; Chordata; Mammalia; Artiodactyla; Camelidae. RNAcentral also lists the same sequence under 2 other names. The record is from Rfam by way of RNAcentral.